GACGAACGCUGGCGGCGUGCUUAACACAUGCAAGUCGAACGGAAAGGCCCUGCUUUUGUGGGGUGCUCGAGUGGCGAACGGGUGAGUAACACGUGAGUAACCUGCCCUUGACUUUGGGAUAACUUCAGGAAACUGGGGCUAAUACCGGAUAGGAGCUCCUGCUGCAUGGUGGGGGUUGGAAAGUUUCGGCGGUUGGGGAUGGACUCGCGGCUUAUCAGCUUGUUGGUGGGGUAGUGGCUUACCAAGGCUUUGACGGGUAGCCGGCCUGAGAGGGUGACCGGCGACAUUGGGACUGAGAUACGGCGCAGACUCCUACGGGAGGCAGCAGUGGGGAAUAUGGCACAAUGGGCGGAAGCCUGAUGCAGAAACGCCGCGUGCGGGAAGACGGCCUUCGGGUUGUAAACCGCUUUAGCCUGUGACGAAGCGUGAGUGACGGUAAUGGGUGAAGAAGCACCGGCUAACUACGU
RNAcentral lists this ribosomal RNA (467 nucleotides) under uncultured bacterium. Its description in RNAcentral is "partial 16S ribosomal RNA". It matches the Rfam family "Bacterial small subunit ribosomal RNA", at positions 28 to 506 of the family's 1533-position model. The record is from RNAcentral.